Uloborus diversus is the source of this 267-nucleotide long non-coding RNA. RefSeq lists it as uncharacterized. The record is from RefSeq and is a predicted model, not a curated record. The transcript has 3 exons. Lineage: Eukaryota; Metazoa; Arthropoda; Arachnida; Araneae; Uloboridae.
AUUUUAAGGAAUGCAGUGGUUUUUUUUUAGUCAUUUACUGCUUCAGCAUGAACUGGAUAGUGAUUUUCUGUGUAAUUUGCGGGUUGUGUUCUCAAAAUCUCGCGGAGAGCCGUCAUGUGGAACAUGAUGGAGAUCGUGCAAUGGAAAAUCCAGAUCUUUUUGAAGGUGAUAUGUUAGGUUUUACACCUGAAGACAGAAAUGCUGUUACAGGCAGACGAAGAUUAUGGCCUGAAGGGAAAAUCCCUUAUGUAAUUGAUCCUGCUUUAA